Molecule: ribosomal RNA, 381 nt
Filed under: uncultured bacterium
Lineage: Bacteria
Description: bacterial SSU rRNA
Rfam family: Bacterial small subunit ribosomal RNA
Source: RNAcentral
GAUGAACGCUGGCGGCGUGCUUAACACAUGCAAGUCGAACGGACGAUGAAGAGCUUGCUUUUCAGAGUUAGUGGCGGACGGGUGAGUAACGCGUGGGUAACCUGCCUCAUACAGGGGGAUAGCAGCUGGAAACGGCUGAUAAAACCGCAUAAGCGCACAGCAUCGCAUGAUGCAGUGUGAAAAACUCCGGUGGUAUGAGAUGGACCCGCGUCUGAUUAGCUAGUUGGUGAGGCAACAGCCCACCAAGGCGACCGAUCGGUAGCCGACCUGAGAGGGUGAUCGGCCACGAUUGGAACUGAGAAACGGUCCAGACUCCUACGGGAGGCAGGCAGUGGGGAAUAUGGGCAAUGGGCGAAAGCCUGACCCAGCAACGCCGCGUGA